GUCCUAGCCGUAAACGAUGGACACUGGGUGUUGGCUCCAUCAUGGAGUCAGUGCCGAAGGAAACCCGUUAAGUGUCCCACCUGAGGAGUACGGCCGCAAGGUUGAAACUCAAAGGAAUUGACGGGGGCCAGCACAAGCGGUGGAACAUGUGGUUCAAUUCGAUGCUACGCGAAGAACCUUACCCAGGCUUGACAUGCUUGUAGUAGGAACCUGAAAGGGUGACGACUCGUAACCAGUCGAGAGCUUGCACAGGUGCUGCAUGGCUGUCGU
RNAcentral lists this ribosomal RNA (270 nucleotides) under uncultured bacterium. RNAcentral describes it as "partial 16S ribosomal RNA". It matches the Rfam family "Bacterial small subunit ribosomal RNA", at positions 793 to 1055 of the family's 1533-position model. The record is from RNAcentral.